RNAcentral lists this ribosomal RNA (497 nucleotides) under uncultured bacterium. Its description in RNAcentral is "partial 16S ribosomal RNA". It matches the Rfam family "Bacterial small subunit ribosomal RNA", at positions 28 to 507 of the family's 1533-position model. The record is from RNAcentral.
GAUGAACGCUGGCGGCGUGCUUAAUACAUGCAAGUCGAACGAACAGACGCGGCUUUUGCGCUUCUUUCGUUGCCGACGGGCGGGUGAGUCGCACGUGAAUUGCCCUUCUCUCAGACUUAAAUACCUUCGAGUAACCGUAGUUCAUAACGGAUACUAUAUUGAACUGCAUGGUUCUAUAGUGAUAUUCGGUUUUUCUGUCGCUUCUAGAUGUAUCCGCGCGUCAUUAGCUUGUUGGUAAGGUAACGCCUUACCAAGUAAACGAUGCGUAACCGACGGGAGAGGGUGAUAGGCCACACUGGAACGGAGACACGGUCCAGGCGCCUACGGGAGGCAGCAGUAGGGAACGUUACGCAAUAGGGGGAAGCAUGACGGAGCGACGCCGCGCGAGAGAUGAAGGCGUUCGGAGCGUAAAACCCGGUUAUUGGGGAAAAACCAAUGUGUGAGUAAAAGAGCACAAAUUGACGGUACCUAAAGAGAAAGCCCCGGCUAACUACGUG